Mus musculus (house mouse) is the source of this 8047-nucleotide RNA transcript. It is a transcript of the gene named adhesion G protein-coupled receptor D2, pseudogene, with no coding region annotated. The record is from RefSeq and is a predicted model, not a curated record. Lineage: Eukaryota; Metazoa; Chordata; Mammalia; Rodentia; Muridae. The transcript is spliced from 14 exons.
CCGGUAGAAGAACAGGUCAACUGUCACGUUCUGUGCAGCCGCUAAAAGUUCUCUCUUAGACACAAGGGGGCAGGUCUCUGGGAGGAGUCACAGAGUCCCGCCCCUAUCCUUCGGGACCCGACUGGCUAGGCUGCCUAGCAGAGAGCCGGCUCCAAAAGCAGAGCUGACAGUGGCCUGGUGGGCCGGUAGAGGACAGCACCAGUAAAGCAGCUGACAUUGGCCAGGUGUGUGAUUCCCCACUGCCCCUCACCUGCCAUGGCUGCAUCCGGAAAGAUGUCUCCGAGUCACUGCCUCCUCUAUCUUCUGGUACCUGAAUUUCUGGAGGGAAGAGUUCAGCCCCGGGGAGGUCAAGGGAACCCAAAGUUGUUCAUUUGCCAAGUGGCUACCACACUUCAAAGAAUGUUAAAGUUAAACCCUUGCAUAUACACAGAACAAUAGCAACUACUGUGUGCUAUGCUCCUGACAUUCAACCAACACGUCACCCCUGGAGCACACAGUAGGUAUUCAACACUGGUGAGAAGUGCCUAUCCGAAGUUACAUCCAUAUUCUCUCUCAGAUCAGAAGUCUCCCUGGGACCUUCUCUAACUCUCCAGGCGAAUAAAGGAACCCUUUGGCUACAGUCCCAGCUGCCCCAGGUGAGAUGCUGCAGACCACAGAGGCGUUGUGCGAAUUCACAGGACAGCGGCUGAGCUGGUGGCAAGCCCAAGAGUCCUGUGACCAGAGGUUUGGCCACUUGGCACUGGGGCCCCUAGAUAGGGCUCUCGCUUCACAUCUGCCUAGCUCGGUCUGGGUAGGACAAAGAGAGGCCUCAUUACGAAGUCAGCCGCAGAGGCGUGAGCACACCACGGCUGCGUUGGUCUUCCACAAGAGGACUGCUGACAGGACCACACAGCUGCCCACGGUACUGCCCGCGCUGGCGGCGUUCACGGCUUGCGUGCAUGUUCAGUGGGAUGAGACAGCAACUGAGGUGACCACUCUUCUCCCUGGCCACGCCGGCUGUGGCCAACGCACUGCAGCUGCGCACCUUCGUGGAACCCGGAGGCGGCCACCAUGUGCCCUUCAAUGCCAUCUUCCGAGCUGACAGUCGCUGGCACCACGUGUGUGCCACGUGGGAGCAGCGCAGCGGGCACUAGGAGCUGUUCACCGAUGGGAGGCAACGUGCAAGGGCUCAGGGACUAAGCACAGGCCACCCCGUGCCGACCUACGGUGUGCUUGUUCUGGGUCAGGAUCAGGACUCCCUGGGUGGCGGGUUCUCAGCCGCAACACCUUCAGUGGCAACCUUACUGACUUCUACCUGUGGGACCUGGUGCUGAGUCUCGAGCAAGUGCGCCGCGCUCGUGCCUGCACACACACCCCCGGGGGGGGGGGGUUGCCCUUUCAGUGGGACCCAGAGGCCCUGGACGUCACGCCCUCACUGUUGCCCACUGUGCUUGUGUGCCUGCUCUGUCCUGGUAAGACAUUGGCCGAGAUGCUAAAUCCUUCCCCUAGGUGGCCCGUUGAUUCUGGCCCCUCCCCAUCUAGCACCAGUAUCCAGCUCAGCCUUUGCUGGUUUGACCUCUUCCAAUUCUGGCCACUCCCUCUUCAGGGCCAGAAGCUUACUUAGCAUGGCCUUGCUCAGUUCUAGCUUCAGGGCCUCAUCUCCCUGAUCCCAACAUGCCCCAUGGUGGGGCGAUGCUGCAUGCUGCUUCCCAAUCAGGUGCAAGCACCUUUUGGGCCUGCAUAGGUAAAUAGCCAAGUUGUGGUCUUGACACUUUGCUACUCUGGCCAGUACCCUCAGAGGAGUGUCCCAUGUGGAGCCUAGGACCUGGCACCAAGGGCUUUGAACUCUGCAUGUACCUACAACUGUUCCUCUGCUGCUACUCAAAAGGUGUGCCUAGCUGUGCCAGAGCUCUGCUGAAUAGUAGAGAAGUUAGAGGGCAUUUAUAAUCUCCAGGUUUGAGGACCCAAUAGAUCUGGACAACAGGGCAGUCUGUCCAGACAGGCCUGGGGCAAAUCUCAGCUGUGUGACUUUGAAAAAGCGAUUCUGCCAUGUUGUGCCUCAGUUUCCCCAUCUACCAUGUUGUUUAAUAUUUCAGACAAUGUCACAGAUAUGCUUUUCCUCCCCAGAACAGUACUUUGAGGGUGGUCAUGGAACAGGCUGGCCCCUCCUUUGCCCAGGGUGCAACCUGGCCUCCACCUUUUGCAGAGACCUAUCAGCAGCUUCAGGGCUUCCAGUCAUGCCAGAUCAGGAUGUUACCAGCAGAGUCAAUGCUUUGGCCAGUGCCACUGUGAACCCCUGACAACUGGGAGCUUUUGACAAAUUUGAUCCACUAAGAAGACCCUGGCAGUGCUCAGCUGUGGAAUCUGGAGAGUUCCCUCCUGCCAGUUAUUCCUCUACCCAUAGCUCCUCCCAAGCCCCCUGUCUGAAACCCCGGGGAUUCUGUCCUUAGACAAGGCUUCCAGCUUCCUGGGUCUUCUGGAGAGAGUCCUGGCAGAGAAGCCAGGUCCACUGGGGCCUGUGACCCUGUUGGCUAUCCUGCACUUCCUGAAGAGGGUGGUUGCCCUCAGAGCUGAGGAGCCAGAGCUGCCGACCCAGCCCUGGGAGGAGCUUGGCAGACGCUUUGUAUCUGUGGCCAGCCUGACCUGGAGGAGCAAUCAGCCAGCGCGUGGCUGUCUAUCAGUGAGGUGGUUGGUGGGCCCAUGGCUCUGGUGAUGUGUGUGCAGUGCCUGGCAUCCCUGCUGAGUUCCACACUGACCUCUGUGCAGCCUCGAAUCCACUUCAAGCAUCAUCUUGGUGGUGAGCAGCCAUCCACUUCCACAGCGAAUCCCAGCUAUCCUUGCUCAGUGUGGUCCCUGAGAGAUCACUGUCUGUACUUCCGUGCACAUCACAAUAUUUCCUUUCUUUACCCAGGCUGUAUCUUCUGCCCACAAUGCCCUUUCUUCCUUGAUCUCCUAGCAAAUAUCUCCCCUUGGAGCCCUGCUUGGGUACCAACUCCCCAACACACACACACACACACACACACACACACACACACGAGUUCUCCUCAGUCUAACAUCUUGAACAUGUCCCUGCAUAAUAGGACUACCCCUCCUCCUCUUGAUGUCCCUAGGGUUCUAGGGCUGUUUGAACAGUCUCUGCACAGAGCAGACCCAAGUUCACAUUCAUCAAGUGCUUGGAGAUCGAUUUGGCGACUCUCACAGUAACCGUUAGCCACAGGUUCCUCCCACCCCCCAUGGUAAUACCCUUCCCUCAGGAAUCCAGGAAGCCAUUUUACCUUGGGUAGUGGCUCAGCCUCUCUGGGCUUGCAUGGUGGGUCCCUAGUCCUAUAGUGGGGAGAGGACAAGUCAGCCAUGGGCACCCCAGAAGAAAGCCCUCCCUCCUGAGAUCCGGCUGCUGCUCCAUCUGAUCCCAGGCCUGGAGGUGCAAAACCUGCACCUGCGGGAGGCCAGCACUGGAGGGCACACGUUCACCAUUCCUGCAGGGCAUCCAGAUGGACCAGACCACACCCACAUCCCUGCAGGGCAUCCAGAUGGACCAGACCAUACCCACAUCCCUGCAGGGCACCCAGAUGGACCAGACCACACCCACAUCCCUGCAGGGCACCCAGAUGGACCAGACCACACCCACAUCCCUGCAGGUGAAGUGAGGCGGCUCCCUGGGAGAGGCCUCGCUGAAGUCAUGGUCAUCCACACCUGGCUCACCUCAAGAGUCUUCCAGCAUACCCUGGGGGCAAGGCCACUAAUGGCUCAAAGGAGGCAAGGAUGCAGAGGUCCCUAAGCACCCAAGUGGGAUCAGCUAUACUCUCUCUAAGGUACGAGAUGCCGCCGGGAGCUCUACACAGCAGUGACCUUUCACCUGCAGCACCAGACCCAGGUCUUUCCACAGAAGAUUCUCCAGCCUGUCUGUGCUUUUUGGAAUUUCAGUGCCAACUCAGAUGCAGGGGGCUCCUGGGCCAUCACUGGCUGCUCAGUGCUCACUCUACACCCAGACUCUACCACCUGCCUCUGCAAGCACAGCACCAGCUUUGCCAUCCUGCUGCAGGUGCAUGACGUCCUGGUGAGCAGGGAGAAACAGGGUAACCGCAGCUGCAGAGGGAGGUAACUCGUGAGGCCAAGUCAUCCUGAGACCUUGCACUGGACACAUGGAGGGUGGGCCAGGGACCAAGGCCCAGCUGGACAUGGGCGUGGAGAGGAAGUGGUGGGAUGUCAGGUAGGGCUGUGUGGAACGAUUGGGUCUAGGACUGGGGUUCAGGAGGGUGUCCUGAUGAAGAAUUUGUGUAUAAAUCAUGAAUUCAGGUGAGUUUGAGAGGAAGCGGAGACUCAAUCAAGAGGGAAGCUGACUCCAGAGUAGACUAAGAAAGGGCUCCAAGGAGACAGAAAGGAACCCGGUGGUCAUUUGCUCCAAGGUCAAGUCGGUGCCUUAAGCAGACUCUGGGUCUGAAAGAGCCCUCGGGAAGGCGUACGUGCUUAUUUUCUGUGUCGCAUUAUAACCCAUCAGCAGCUUCGUCUUUAAUAGCAGUCUGUGAUCUUCACAGGUAUCGCCUGCCUCACAGGACAUCCCCCGGGGCUUGAGAGUGACUUCCAAUUCAGGGCUCUCUUAGGGAGACCCAGCAAGAGAGAGAUACAUUCAUUUAUUAAGCACCUACUGUGUGCAGGCCUAGUCCCUGGUGGUGGUACUAUUGCCAUCCUUGAUCCCCUAGGGAGACUUGCGGUCAGCAGGCAGGGUGAGUCUUGUGCCAAUAGGAUGAGGAUGGGCCCCUCACUGUCCUUCGCUGCAGGGAGGUCCUGAAGAGGAGUCGCUGCUGAGGACUCUGUUAUUUGUGGGCUGUGGUGUGUCCCUCUGUGCUCUUGCUACCACCUCCUUGCUCUUCGUGGUGGCUGGGUGAGGAAGUGUCCCACACUUGGGCUUGUCACCUCUUAGACUCUACAGCCAUCCCCAUGAGACUUUGGUCUGGGGCUUCCCUUAGGGUGAGCUGGGUCCCUUGCUGCCUACAUGAGGCCAGUCACCAGGAACCCCUCCACCCCCAAGGCCUGGCUGAAAGUGCGUGAGGCUGAUGGGGCUGUCCUUGUUAGCCAACCCUUCUGCCUAUACAGGGUUCCCGUGUCUGAACGGACCACAAUCCACAAGAUUUUCCCUGGCCUCUGCUGAGGCCUUCCUCAUGACCAGCGAGUGGGCAAAGAGCAACAAGGUGACCUGUGUGGUUGUCACAGCGGCCAUGCAUCUUCUCUUUCUGGUUGCCUUCUCCUGGAUGCUGGCAGAGGGACUGCUGCUUUGGAGCAAGGUGGUAGCCGUGAGCAUGCACCCAGGCCCCAGGAUGAGGCUGUACUAUACUGCAGGCUGGGGCAAAUACUUACAUCCUGGUCCAUGUUGUAAUGAUCACUCUAUCCAGCACCCACCGCCGUGCACGCAUGCUGAGCCCACAGCCUGACCUACAGCAGAAGAUCAAGUUCCAAAUGUGGUGAGGCUCAGCUAGGGGGGCAGGGUGAGAUUGGGGUACAGGGCCAGCUGGCACCUCACAUGAGCGUGGUGUAGUGUGAGCAUGUGAGUCUGUGUUGGGAUGUGUGGCCAAGUGUGAGCCUGUGUUAAGUAGUGAGUACACGUGUGACCUUGCUUACGAGACACCCAUGCUUGGGUAUGUCACGCUGUGUAAGACACUGGGGAUACCAGCCACUGCCCUGGGGCCUCACUAUCUGCAGAAGGUGCUGAGGGUCUGCCUGAGACAAGACAGGAGGAGUCCUCAAGUCAGGCCAUCCCCAGUUCAGGAUCAGAGUAAGGAUUCAGGUCUCUAGCUCUACCAAAGACCCUUCCCAUCCCCAGCACCAUGACUACUGGAGCACAAUGCUGUGACCUUCUUCCUAUAGCCCGGCCUUCUCUGUGGCCUUCCUCACUUGACCAGUCUCUGCUGCAGCAGAACCACUCAAACCAGCAAGUGCCUGAGAAGACAGGGAGGCCAGGCUGCUGGAGAGGGCUGCAGAGCCUUCCUGACUCACGCUCCCAUUCCCUGACCAGUUCUGGGCAGCUGCCUCGCCUUUGCAAACUAGACUUGGGAACGAAUGAAAUCUUAUCUCCCAGUACCACCACCCCUACUAAGAAGGAAGCAAGCUCCACCCAAGGGCUUUGCAGAGCCUUCUCCCAAUCUGCAGUUGCAGACAUCCCCCCCCUACCCCCACCCCCGCCGUGUACUUCCUGGGUACUGCAGCAUCCAUCAGAGACCAGGGAAUCACACUGGCCCCUUAGCUCUGCUUCCUUUCCCCAAAGGGCCAUGGUGAAACCUGUGCUGGCCCUGUUACCUGUCCUGGGCCUGACCUGGCUGUUUGGCCUUCCUGGUACACAUUAGCCCAAUCUGGGCCUACGCUGCUGUGUUUCUCAAUUCCUUCCAGGUAUUUUUAGGCCCUGAACACAUAGAAUGGGGGCUCUGGAACAUUGGAACUCAGAGAGGAUGUGUGGUUUGCCAAGACUAAGCAGGAGGGCCCAUACAUCUUCCUUGUCUACGCUGCUUACAAUGGAGAGGUGCAGAACACACUACGGAGGAUGACAGAGAAGAAGGCAGCCGAGGUGCUCAGGGCAGAGCAGGUGCACCUGGCCAAGGGUGAGGGGGCCCUGGGGCCAGAUGGACAGGGCCAAGCACAACACCUCUUCUUUCAGACACUCUCUGGCCCUUGUGACCUACAGGCUUCAUGUCCCUGGGUCAUGGCCCAGGAGAAUGCCCGAGUCUGGGAUUCUCAGAGAAGAUCUGUUGCUCUGAGAGGUACAAUCUCUAUCUCCAUGCCUAGUGUUUCCUGCUGCCUUGAUUUCUCCAUCACUCAGCCAGAGCUAGGAGAACAGCAGCAGACUCUAUAAGCCUACUAGAAAGACAAAGAAACUGAGACCUUGGAGAACAGUUGGGUGACCAACCAGAGGUGGGGUCUACUUAGAACUCCUGUCUAGGGUUCCUAGCCCAGGGUAGGGGGGUAAGGAGAGGAAGUGUGCCUGAGCCCCUGAUACGAGAGCUGGGUGGGCCUCAAUUUCCUCACCACUAAUCUGAGAGUAAAGUUCUGAGCAGAUUUUUAGGGUGUCUGAUAGUGGGGGUCCAAUGUCUUAGCCUGUGCACAGUUCACCAAAUAUUUCCCCCUUUUAGGGACCCAUAGACCCAGGAUUCCCUCAGCCUUCUCUUCCAUUACAGAACCCAGAAGACCCAUAAGGCUAGAUAGAACAAGGGACCAGCUAGUGUAAUGGCAGGGUUGGGGACACAGCAAAGGCUAGGACAAGGUUGGUGAGCACUGACUGCAGGGACCUUGUCCUCUGCACUGGAAAGCUAGAGCUGUAGGCUGACAGACCUAAAAGCCAAGGCCUCUUGGGAAGGGCCAGGAGCUCCCAGGGGACAGGGGACAGGAAAAGGGACCUAUCUUUCCUGUUCUCUUUUUUAGGCUGUGGAGCUGACAGUGUUUAAGACUUCAGGUACUUCUCUUCCUGGGCAGACUCCCUCAUCCCUCCACUCCCACACUGCUCCAAGAUGAAAAUAAUUUGAGACUCAACCAUACAAGAACCAAUCUUAGAUCAGCGCUGCCUAGUCUCAAACUAUACCCAUGGCUGGCUGAAAGAGAGGCCUGUUUUUGGAACUCUUGCUGGGAUUAGGCUCAGUGCCCAACCCCAGGCCGGUGCUGAUUCUGGUCCACCAGUCAGGGGAGGCUGCUUUCCUCGAAGUGUGCAGAGGAGGCCAAGCAUCCAGAGGAGCUGCGACUAAGGCAGCCAGUGGCGUAGCAGGAACCAGGCUUACCUGUACAGAUGCGGCAUCUGAGAUGUAGCAAUAGUCAUAGGGGUGUGAUCCACAGACCAAGGUUUGUGGCAGGCAGCCUUGAAUGUUCAGCUUCUGGUCCGCUAAAAGGGGCCGAAGCGCCCCCUGCAGGCAGAUCAGGGGCGCAGGGCUAGGCAAGAUCAGAGCGCGCAGCUGCCCCUCACCCGACAGGCCCAACCCCCCCCUCCACCCCGCCCCCACCCGCAAGCACAACCGUCUGCGAGAACAAGAGCCACUGCAGCGCCUCUGUGCCUUUGUCUCUGCUGAAUGGGUGCGUUGCUAGGGCUGCUCGU